CGAAUCAUCUGGAAAGAUGAAUCAAAGAAGGUAAUAAUCCUGUAGUCGAAAAUGUUGUCUCUCUUGAGUGGAUCCUGAGUACGACGGAGCACGUGAAAUUCCGUCGGAAUCUGGGAGGACCAUCUCCUAAGGCUAAAUACUCUCUAGUGACCGAUAGUGAACCAGUACCGUGAGGGAAAGGUGAAAAGCACCCCGGAAGGGGAGUGAAAUAGAACCUGAAACCGUGUGCUUACAAGUAGUCAGAGCCCGUUAAUGGGUGAUGGCGUGCCUUUUGUAGAAUGAACCGGCGAGUUACGAUUUGAUGCAAGGUUAAGCAGUAAAUGUGGAGCCGUAGCGAAAGCGAGUCUGAAUAGGGCGUUUAGUAUUUGGUCGUAGACCCGAAACCAGGUGAUCUACCCUUGGUCAGGUUGAAGUUCAGGUAACACUGAAUGGAGGACCGAACCGACUUACGUUGAAAAGUGAGCGGAUGAACUGAGGGUAGCGGAGAAAUUCCAAUCGAACCUGGAGAUAGCUGGUUCUCUCCGAAAUAGCUUUAGGGCUAGCCUCAAGUGAUGAUUAUUGGAGGUAGAGCACUGUUUGGACGAGGGGCCCCUCUCGGGUUACCGAAUUCAGACAAACUCCGAAUGCCAAUUAAUUUAACUUGGGAGUCAGAACAUGGGUGAUAAGGUCCGUGUUCGAAAGGGAAACAGCCCAGACCACCAGCUAAGGUCCCAAAAUAUAUGUUAAGUGGAAAAGGAUGUGGCGUUGCCCAGACAACUAGGAUGUUGGCUUAGAAGCAGCCAUCAUUUAAAGAGUGCGUAAUAGCUCACUAGUCGAGUGACACUGCGCCGAAAAUGUACCGGGGCUAAACAUAUUACCGAAGCUGUGGAUUGUCCUUUGGACAAUGGUAGGAGAGCGUUCUAAGGGCGUUGAAGCAUGAUCGUAAGGACAUGUGGAGCGCUUAGAAGUGAGAAUGCCGGUGUGAGUAGCGAAAGACGGGUGAGAAUCCCGUCCACCGAUUGACUAAGGUUUCCAGAGGAAGGCUCGUCCGCUCUGGGUUAGUCGGGUCCUAAGCUGAGGCCGACAGGCGUAGGCGAUGGAUAACAGGUUGAUAUUCCUGUACCACCUAUAAUCGUUUUAAUCGAUGGGGGGACGCAGUAGGAUAGGCGAAGCGUGCGAUUGGAUUGCACGUCUAAGCAGUAAGGCUGAGUAUUAGGCAAAUCCGGUACUCGUUAAGGCUGAGCUGUGAUGGGGAGAAGACAUUGUGUCUUCGAGUCGUUGAUUUCACACUGCCUAGAAAAGCCUCUAGAUAGAAAAUAGGUGCCCGUACCGCAAACCGACACAGGUAGUCAAGAUGAGAAUUCUAAGGUGAGCGAGCGAACUCUCGUUAAGGAACUCGGCAAAAUGACCCCGUAACUUCGGGAGAAGGGGUGCUCUUUAGGGUUAACGCCCAGAAGAGCCGCAGUGAAUAGGCCCAAGCGACUGUUUAUCAAAAACACAGGUCUCUGCUAAACCGUAAGGUGAUGUAUAGGGGCUGACGCCUGCCCGGUGCUGGAAGGUUAAGAGGAGUGGUUAGCUUCUGCGAAGCUACGAAUCGAAGCCCCAGUAAACGGCGGCCGUAACUAUAACGGUCCUAAGGUAGCGAAAUUCCUUGUCGGGUAAGUUCCGACCCGCACGAAAGGCGUAACGAUUUGGGCACUGUCUCAACGAGAGACUCGGUGAAAUCAUAGUACCUGUGAAGAUGCAGGUUACCCGCGACAGGACGGAAAGACCCCGUGGAGCUUUACUGUAGCCUGAUAUUGAAAUUCGGCACAGCUUGUACAGGAUAGGUAGGAGCCUUUGAAACGUGAGCGCUAGCUUACGUGGAGGCGCUGGUGGGAUACUACCCUA
RNAcentral lists this ribosomal RNA (1869 nucleotides) under Staphylococcus aureus. RNAcentral describes it as "partial 23S ribosomal RNA". It matches the Rfam family "Bacterial large subunit ribosomal RNA", at positions 334 to 2207 of the family's 2925-position model. Lineage: Bacteria; Bacillati; Bacillota; Bacilli; Caryophanales; Staphylococcaceae. The record is from RNAcentral.